GAGAGAAAUAAAUCACAAAACAUGAACAUUACUUAAGUCAACAGAAAAAUGGAGAAAUAGCAUCUUGAAGUACUAAUGGUUAUAACUGCUGAUCAUUGCAAGUGAUUAGCUCCACUCCCAGAACAAUGCUAGUUGUGGUGUCAGUGCUUUCUGGUCUUGUUUUGAUUUUAAUGGGAAUACCUCUGGUGUUUCAAGGUUACUUCCUUCUACAGUCCUUGUGGCCUGUAUGCGCUCCC
This is a non-coding RNA of Manis javanica (Malayan pangolin), 236 nucleotides long. NCBI's taxonomy places the organism in Eukaryota, Metazoa, Chordata, Mammalia, Pholidota, Manidae. The record is from RefSeq and is a predicted model, not a curated record.